AAACUAGGAUUAGAUACCCUUUUAUUUAUUAUUAAAAUUUUUUAUUUAAUAAAUAUUUUAUAAUAAAAAAAUUAAUUAAAAUGGCAGUAUAUUAUAAAAUUAGAGGAUUUUGUUAUAUAAUAGAUAUUACACUUUAAAAUUUAUUUAAUUUUUUUUGUUAUAUAUUGUAUAUUGUUGUAUUAAACUGAUAUUUUAAAAAUUAUUAGUAUUAUUUUUAAAAAAAAAUAAAUUCAAAUCAACAUACAUACCAUAAUUAAAAUUUAAAUGAAAUACAAUUAAAUCUAUUAAUGAAUAAUAAAUUGUAAAAUUUAUUUAAAAUUGGAUUUAAUAGUAAAAAUUUAAUAAAUUUUUUAUUUGAAUUAAAUUAAUAUAUGUACAUAUUGCCCGUCGUUUUUAAUU
RNAcentral lists this ribosomal RNA (399 nucleotides) under Mayetiola destructor (Hessian fly). RNAcentral describes it as "partial 12S ribosomal RNA". Lineage: Eukaryota; Metazoa; Arthropoda; Insecta; Diptera; Cecidomyiidae. The record is from RNAcentral.